Ictidomys tridecemlineatus (thirteen-lined ground squirrel) is the source of this 549-nucleotide non-coding RNA. Lineage: Eukaryota; Metazoa; Chordata; Mammalia; Rodentia; Sciuridae. The record is from RefSeq and is a predicted model, not a curated record.
UCUUCAGCAAGCAAAGCACCUAUGUGCUCUUGCAGAAUCAUAUGCAUGUCUCAAAGCAGUUAGCUUUGUUGCUAGGUAAUCAUUUGUUUACAUGUUCUUUCUCCCCUAUCAUACAAUGAUCUACUAGGGAACAAAAAUCAUCCCACUCCUUUCUAGUCAAUAGUUCAUCAGUAAAAUAUUCACUGAUUGAAUGUCUUAACUGGUUAAUUAAGGGAAGCUACAAUAAUGGGUAAUACAGGUUGGCAAUCCCCCAAAGGACUUCCAUUUAAGACUUUGGCAGGCAUGCCUAUCCAGUGGAGAGCAGUGAUGAGAUAGAACUAACUGGACAUUAUGUUACUAGCAAUGGAUCCCUGAACUCUAGAAUUGGGACAAAUACACUAGACUCUGAAAAACUUUUCUCUGAUGGAAAUGACCCCUUGCUACAGUGACUUUCUGACACCAUGCAUGAUGCACACUCUUGGAAAGUCUGAAUUCCAUGUCACAAUGGCUCUGUUCAGAUUACUGAUUUCAUCAUGCCUGUAAGCCCAAUUAAACUACUGAAGUUUCUAA